AAAUUACCAUCUAGUGGAAGACAGAACAUUUCCAAGCUGACUGAACACCACAUUUUCUACUCAUCUGAACUUUGAAAGCAGAAUCUCUAAAUUGCAUCCCCAUAUUCUGAGGUCAAGAAAGAACUCUAAUGGGAAAUAAUCUCUACCAAUUAGCUUUACUCUGACAUCAAUCAGGAUUACCAGAUCUAAUGGACUCUUGUCUAUCAGUGUGACCUUUGACGCAGAGUGAUUAUGUUGGCCACCCUUCCACUUGGAACUUUGCAUCCCCUCCUCACACUGCUUCCUACCAUUGGAAGUCCUUUCUGGCUUUUUGUGGAGUACUUUUUGCUGUAUGUAACUUUUAAGUAAUGUUUUGUUGGACUUUCUUCUGAGUCCUCUGAUUAAUAAUAUGUUUUCCCUGGUUGAAUCCCAGGAGGUGAGUCUGCCAUGUUUCAAAUAUCAACAGAUUGAUAUAUGCUGAACAUUCUCACAACCAGACUUAAUUCUAGCCUCACUGCCCAUAUGCCCACCAGUGGGUCUACUUCCUUGGAUAGUUCACAAACACCUUUAAAUGACCAUACUUUAACAGUAAGAUUCUCCCCUAUUAACUACCUGUGUUUUAGUCCUUAUUCAUGGGGUCUCUCAGACACAAGUGACUCAAGAUGAAUAUUAAUGCUAUUUUUCGGAGGGAAAAAACAAGACUACUUGUGAAACAUCCUUAGUUUUGUGUUUGUGUUACUGCUGCUGAUUGGUUGAGGGCCAGCUAUAAACUUGGAUUAUCAUUUGUGGCCCUCCUAAGCCCAAGUGAUUGCAGUGACUCCUCUGUGCCUCCACUAUCUUCCUCAUCGUUUCCCUGCCUAUGUGGCCUUAUGAAAUUCAAGUCUGGUCAUUUAUUUCCCCUACUUGAAAUGUUUCAAUACUGGAUGAAAUUCAAACUCAGCAUACUAGCUAGGCCCCUCUAAAUCUAGCACGUAUUUCUAUCUCUGCAGUCUGUAAAAAAAAAAAAAUUGUUCCAUCUCUUAGUACCUCUCAAAAAUCAUAACAUCUAGGAAGCCCUUUAAGUCAUCAUGUUACUACUUUCCCUUCAGAGUUCAGCUUGAGUUUUUAAAUGUUCUGACAGUCUCAUGAUUUCAAUUCCUUGUCACUGAUUUCUUUUUGGAUUUUUGAGGUAGGCUGUCCCUCCAUCAGUCAGCUAGCCUCACACUGGCCUUGAGCAUGAAUCCUGAGACCUGGGAGCACAGGGAUGUUAGCCCAUCUGGAGGGGAGGGAACAAAUUCAUUGUAUGAUUCUCAUUUCUGAAAGAAUGGAUAAGGCAGUGACUGAACUGAGUGAGCACUACAGGAGCACGUGAUAAAGUCCUAAUAUAUAGGUACAGUUGAGAAAAGGGUUCAUCGUCCACACUACAUUAAGUUUAAAUGUCAUUGAGUCAUUUACAGAAUUAUAUAUUUGGAUCUUGAGAUAUGUACACCCAAAAUCUCGCCCAAAGUAAUAUUUUCAGUUUCAUUAUGUUCUAAAUAGGAAUUUUCAUUUUGUUACCAAUUAUAAAAAAAAAGUAGUCUUACAUGGUACACAGAAAGUAUUAAAAAUAAGGGGUGGUUCUUCAUAAUUCUGUAUAUAGAAACAAACUGAAAAGGCUUAUAAAGAUAUUAUUUUAAUAUCCCAAAAGAUUUAAAAAAUGGCAUUUGGAAACUCCUUGACAAUGAGAAAAAUAACCAAGUUUAAAAUGCUUUGUAGAAAUUUAAGGUGAGAGCAUAGAUUCGGUUUUUGGAGGGUUUUUUUGUUUUGUUUUUAAUGGUAUUUUUGGCCUCUUUCCCUCCCCCCCCCCAGCCCCCCGCCCACCCCGGUUUGUUUUGAGACAGGGUCACAUGUAGUCCAGGCUUUCUCUGUACUUGCUAUGUAGCCUAGGUAAGUCUUGAAUACCUGAUCCUCCUACCUCUACCUCCCAAGUGCUGGGAAGACAGGUGUGUGCCACCUCUGGGGCCCAUAACAGCCUAGAUUUAAAACAAUGCUAAGACUCCCCUACCACCUUUCUCUUUGGCAUCUUAUAAAUGUCUUGUAGAUUGAAUCUAGAAUCACUGGUAUUUGUAAAUAAAUCAACUUUGUG
Molecule: long non-coding RNA, 2083 nt
Filed under: Mus musculus (house mouse)
Lineage: Eukaryota; Metazoa; Chordata; Mammalia; Rodentia; Muridae
Description: long non-coding RNA chr15:44436169-44438252
Source: RNAcentral